GCUGUUAAGGGUUCGUAGUUGAAUACGGAGUUCUUGGGAGUUUUCGCGCAUUCGUGCGCUUUCGUCCCUACUCUGUCAUAGCUGGGACCGGGGCCGUGCGGAGGAUCGCCUUCAUUGAUGGUCCGUGCUGUUGGGUGAAGAGCUCAACAUAUACGCGUGCGCCGCACGCUAGGCCGCCCCCGUUAUCACUGUGAAGAAAACAGCGUGUUCAAGGCAGCCGCUUGCGGUUGUAUGACAAGCAUGGAAUGACAAAGCAUCGACCAGAAGGUCAAUCUUUUGUCGGUUUUUAGGAUCUUUUGGAAAAUUGGUGGGCAAAGCAUUCCUUCUCUGUUCGCAGCGUUGGAACUUUGUCGACACGGGAUUAAUGGGGGUUGUCGGGGGAAAACGUAUCUGAGCGUGAGAGGUGAAAUUCUUGACCGCUCGGGGACGAACUUAUGCGAAGGCAUUUUCCAAGUAUACCUUCCUCAAUCAAGACUAAAGUG
This 482-nucleotide ribosomal RNA is filed under the name uncultured kinetoplastid. RNAcentral's name for it is "bacterial SSU rRNA". It matches the Rfam family "Eukaryotic small subunit ribosomal RNA", at positions 615 to 991 of the family's 1831-position model. Lineage: Eukaryota; Euglenozoa; Kinetoplastea. The record is from RNAcentral.